UGAGGGAGACAGGCAAUCGCGGAGCGCAAGCUCCGAGGAAAGUCCGAACUCCAUAGAGCGGAAUGCUGGCUAACGGCCAGUGGGGGUGACCUCAAGGAAAGUGCCACAGAAACAUACCGCCCGGAAUAGUGACAGACGCUGAAAGCUAUGCCGGGUAAGGGCGAAAUGGUGAGGUAAGAGCUCACCAGCAGGCGGGAGACCGUCUGGCUGGGUAAACCCCAUCCGGAGCAAGACCAGAUAGAAGGGAUGGUACAUCUGCAAUGCAGGUGUGCUUGCAGGCUGCUCGUCUGUGAACCUUCGGGUUGGUCGCACGAGGUGUCGGGCAACUGGCACCCUAGAUAGAUGAUUGCCGCCUGUGUGGUUGAGAGGCCACGCAGGUACAGAAUUCGGCUUACGGCUCCCUCAACUC
RNAcentral lists this RNase P RNA (409 nucleotides) under Chloroflexota bacterium. RNAcentral's name for it is "RNase P RNA component class A". It matches the Rfam family "Bacterial RNase P class A". Rfam says of the family: Ribonuclease P (RNase P) is a ubiquitous endoribonuclease, found in archaea, bacteria and eukarya as well as chloroplasts and mitochondria. The record is from RNAcentral. Lineage: Bacteria; Bacillati; Chloroflexota.